RNAcentral lists this microRNA precursor (108 nucleotides) under Cricetulus griseus (Chinese hamster). Its description in RNAcentral is "miRNA (ENSCGRG00001008883.1)". The record is from RNAcentral. Lineage: Eukaryota; Metazoa; Chordata; Mammalia; Rodentia; Cricetidae.
AUUAUAUUCAUCUGUUGGUGGGCAUCUAGGCUAGUUCCAUUUCCUUGCUGUUGUGAAUAGAGCAGCAAUGAAUAUGGCUACACUAGGAUUUCUGUAGUAGGAUAUGGA